This 405-nucleotide ribosomal RNA is filed under the name uncultured bacterium. Its description in RNAcentral is "partial 16S ribosomal RNA". It matches the Rfam family "Bacterial small subunit ribosomal RNA", at positions 28 to 526 of the family's 1533-position model. The record is from RNAcentral.
GACGAACGCUGGCGGCGUGCUUAACACAUGCAAGUCGAGCGGAGCGGCGAACGGGUGAGUAACACGUGAGUAACUGCCCCCCUCUCUGGGAUAACAGUUGGAAACGGCUGCAAAUACCGGAUAGUGGGGGAUGACUCGCGUCGUAUCAGCUUGUUGGUGGGGUAGUGGCUUACCAAGGCGACGACGGGUAGCCGGCCUGAGAGGGCGACCGGCCACAUUGGGCUGAGGUACGGCCCAAACGCCUACGGGAGGCAUCGGUGGAGAAUAUUGCACAAUAGGGGAAACCCUGGUGCAGCAACGCCGCGUGCGGGAUGACGGCCUUCGGGUUGUAAACCGCUUUCAGCGAUGACGCGGUAGUGGCAGAAGAAGCACCGGCUAACUACGUGCCAGCAGCCGCGGUAAUUC